Alosa sapidissima (American shad) is the source of this 2088-nucleotide long non-coding RNA. RefSeq lists it as uncharacterized. The record is from RefSeq and is a predicted model, not a curated record. Lineage: Eukaryota; Metazoa; Chordata; Actinopteri; Clupeiformes; Clupeidae. The transcript is spliced from 4 exons.
GGUACUGCAAUACCGGGUCGAUGCGUGGAGUGGACGGAGCAAGCCCCUAUUCCAUCUCCCUGUUCCAAAAAUCAAUUUAAUAUAUGGUCCCCGGGUAGGGGACGUAUCAGAUAUUAAACUGAUAAGAACAGAUACUACACUUGAUCUUAGCCAAAAGGCCGAGAAGCGAUACCUUCCUCCACCUUUAGCAAAGGACUGUAUUUGCCGUCUUAAACUUCACGUUUAGAGUCCUUACAAUAACCUACACAGUUACAUCAGAGAGGAUGCCCAGAUACCUGCACUUUCACGUUCCAUUACUUAGAAAGUUUGAAAAUCCUUACCGAUUGCUGCUAGAUGGACAUUUAGAGCAAUACUUUGAAUGAGGCGUUACACAAUGCAUCGCUUGAACCAAUCACAAACGAGUAAGAAGAAACAUGAUUUCACGAUAUGUUUUAAAGGAGCGUUUACAUAGAUUGUCUGUGCGUUUAAGCAUGAGAAGCACACGCGUCAGAUAGUUACUGUUGUAAAUGGCUUUGGUCUCGGAUUUAAGGUUUAAUUUUUAUUUUAAAAAUGCCAUCCCUCCACCCAGUGGAUAAAAGUGGUAUGGCAUAGGCUACAACAUUGGCUGAGCUCCUCAGUCCUCACGAUAAACUUAGUCUACUGAAUUGGCUCUUUAUAUGAAUUCUAAUACAGUAGAAUCUAAAAUGUAUCUGACAUGAGACAAAUUGGAAAUUGGAAAGACACAGUCUACCAAAAUAAUGCAGACCUAUACCCUGGAAUAAGCGUGACAACAUCAUGGUCAACACCAGCAGCCAGAGUCUGGCUUUCUACUGUGAGAAACAUAAGCAAGGGGUGCUGCAUAUCCUUCAGGAACAAGCAAGUGUGCUGUAACUGACGCCAAACCUCAGUGAUGACUUCAGCCCCCGGCCGAGUAUUCAAUCAUGCGUCGAUAAAGACACCAAAGGAGUAGGCAACCGGAUAUGACCAGGCUGCUGGUAAUAUCCAGCAGCGGUAGCCAGCAGUAUUGCCCAGCCUGAUCCCGUAGCCAAGGGAAGCCCCUGGAGAUGAACUCAACUGGGCCAUCGCCAGGGGUACCUGGAGAGGUGAAUGCCAUAGACACGGUCUCUACAGGAAACUCCUGGCUGCAGUUCCUUUGAGGUGAACCGUGUCCCUUAAGAGCCACCAUCCACUGCUGUCUUGACUACUCUGGUGAGGGUGACCUAGUAAGUGGAGGGCAUUUUGGACCGAUGUCAUCCCUUGAUCCAGCAGCCUAAAAAUGCACCAGAGUUUCACCCUAAUGAUGUCUUGGAGUUCAUGUCAAGGGUCAAGAAUUGGCUGACAAUAGACAGUUCCACUCAGACUGGGGCUGAAGGACAUACACUUUUCAUAUAUCUCAAAGGGCAACGUCAUUGCCCCCCCCCCCCCCCCUUUUAUCACCAAGUGUUAUGUUUUUAUCCAUGUGGUCUCUUCAGAAAGGCCCAAACAUUAUCCAAGUAUCAUUCCCAAGCACUCCGUUAGGUCAGCGUAAUGAGUCUGUGAACGGCUCACUCCCAUAGUGCUUCCCGAGGGGCCGGUGUAUGCGAUGCACAGGGCUCUGUGUAAUCUGGGUCUGGGGGGACCCAGAGGUUCAGGGGGCCAACUGGAGAAGUGAAGCCCAGGACGGGGGUGCUAUCGUUGGCCUCUGAACCCCGAGGCCCUGUGGGGUACACGCGAGCAGGACGCACAGCAGGCAUUCCUGUAGUAGUUGUACACACACAGGCGAGCCUGGACCACCACGUUGCAGUUGAAGUAUUUGUCCCGACAGUUCUCAUCUGGAAGACAUUGAGGGACGUCUUUAUUACAGAAAGUACACACUGGGCAUCGCUUUCAUGGUAGCAGAAGAUUUAACUUAAACAUAUCUUGUGACGUGUAUUUAUUUAUACGUUUUGGGUUUCAAAGUCUCAGACGUUCACCACAAGAUCACUAGUGUGAUUGUUAGCCUAUGGAUGACUGAAAUCCAAUCCAAAUGUGAUAUUGAUUUCUCCAGUGUGUUGUAAGAUAUAGCUGUAGAUUUUAAUUUCCUAUGUUCUUGACAUUUCACCUUUUAAUAAAAACACCACUAAAUAUAAA